CCUACGGGAGGCAGCAGUGGGGGAUAUUGCACAAUGGGGGGAACCCUGAUGCAGCGACGCCGCGUGGGUGAAGGAGUGCUUCGGCAUGUAAAGCCCUAUCGGCAGGGAAGAAGCAAGACGGUACCUGACUAAGAAGCCCCGGCUAACUACGUGCCAGCAGCCGCGGUAAUACGUAGGGGGCGAGCGUUAUCCGGAUUCACUGGGUGUAAAGGGAGCGUAGACGGCCAUGCAAGCCAGGGGGGAAAGCCCGGGGCCCAACCCCGGGACUGCCCUUGGAACUGUGCGGCUAGAGUGCGGGAGGGGCAGGCGGAAUUCGUGGUGUAGCGGUGAAAUGCGUAGAUAUCAGGAGGAACACCGGCGGCGAAGGCGGCCUGCUGGACCGCGACUGACGUUGAGGCUCGAAAGCGUGGGGAGCGAACAGGAUUAGAUACCCCUGUAGUC
RNAcentral lists this ribosomal RNA (441 nucleotides) under uncultured bacterium. RNAcentral's name for it is "partial 16S ribosomal RNA". It matches the Rfam family "Bacterial small subunit ribosomal RNA", at positions 338 to 795 of the family's 1533-position model. The record is from RNAcentral.